AUUUCCCUCCACCGUUGUGCAUACUCUUUGAGAGAUUCAUUAUCCUUUUUCGAUGAAUUUUGCAGUUGCAUCCUAUCAGGGGCCAUGUCAAUGUUGUACCUGUAUUGUUUCAAAAAGGCAUCGGCCAGGUCUUUCCAUGAACGAAUUCGAUUUCGCUCGAGAUGCAUAUACCAACUUAACGAUGCCCCACUCAAACUGUCUUGGAAAAAGUGAAUGAGCAGCUUGUCGUUAUGAGCAUGAGAAGCCAUUUUUCUGCAAUACAUAGUUAGAUGAUU
Molecule: long non-coding RNA, 275 nt
Filed under: Cicer arietinum (chickpea)
Lineage: Eukaryota; Viridiplantae; Streptophyta; Magnoliopsida; Fabales; Fabaceae
Description: long non-coding RNA (CARI_LNC003439)
Source: RNAcentral